Molecule: long non-coding RNA, 5672 nt
Filed under: Bemisia tabaci
Lineage: Eukaryota; Metazoa; Arthropoda; Insecta; Hemiptera; Aleyrodidae
Description: lncRNA ENSSSA1UGG007206
Source: RNAcentral
UUUAGAAGGUUAACUCUUAAUUUCUGAUUCAUUAAUAUGAUGUAUGUGUGAAUGGAUAUGUAUGUAUCUAAUACACGUCAUUGUUGACGAUAAAAAAUCUAACUUCCUCACAUCGCACGAGGCCUUCAGUUGGUUUUUCCCAAAACGGCCCCUCCUGGAUGUCCAAUAAUCAUGGUUAAAUUUAAGGUCAGAAAACAAAUGGCGGAAUAGGUGAACACCAAGUUAUGUGGCUCUUCCAGAGUUCCCACGCGCCCAAGUAGCAGAGGUUGCAACAAGUUGCAACAAAAUCGUUAAAUUCUUGCAACUAAUAGAUUGACGUGCAGAUUGCCUACUCUUUCCUCCGAAGGAGCUAUCAUUGUUGGAAUUUGUUGCAAUUAAGUUGAAACAUGUUCCAACUUCAAUAUCGUUCCCUGUCUGCCUUCUUCGCAAACUGGUAAAGACGUCACGUGACUGGUCUUUACUAGCCAAUCACGUUACGACUUUACGCGCGCUAAUCGGAACGCCUCGUACAACAACGGACCGGUCCAUAAAUCAGCCGCCAUCUCGCACCUGUCUUGCGUUGUGUACAUGCUUCGUCUCGUCCUUCGUCUUUGGUUCUGACAAUAUGUAAGUGAAAGUGAUACGUGAUUUGUGCAAUUUAAAGUGAUAUGCAAUUUACCUUACCUCACACCACACCACUGGAUUAAAUUGGCACCCAGAAUCUGAUGAAUCAGGCAUCAUAGGAUAUUUUUUCAUCAAUCUGAUUUCUGAUAUGAAGGGUGCAUUAUAGUUGAGUGUGUAAUGGGUGAGUGUAGUUGUAGGUUGAAAGUAUCUCGAAAGAAUCAUUUAGUGUUUGCGACCACUCAACAUGCAUUUUCAAUAUGUGGACUGUAGUGAAGAAAAUAGUAGAGGGAGAAUACGAUGCUGUCCCUGACUCAUGGAUUCUUCCGAGCCGAAAGGAGAUGCAGUACCCGCUGCUGACGCCAUUCAAUGUGACAAAGCUGGCCAUGAGUGGGAAGCCAAUAUCAAAAUUAGCCUAUGAAAUUUUGGAAAUAUCUGAGUUGGGCAAAGAGUAUGGAAGUUUUGAUGACGCAUACGACGAUGCUCGAAGAUUCAACAGAGGAAAAAAAUCUAGAUCCUCUUCUGAAAGAGAGAUAAAAGGAAAAGGCCAAAGAACCAAAAUUACCAAACGUCCCUAUGCUGGGUCCAGUACAGAGUCAGACUCUGAAUCAGAGAAUGCCUCUACCAACGAUAAUGAAGACCUGAGCCCUGAGAUCAAGUUGUCCAAGGAAAAAUCAAGGAAAAAAUCAUCGAAAAUGAAAUCAAAGCAGAGACUGAAAUCCAAUAGCGAAGAAGGCGAUCAUUAUGGUAGUGAUGAAGAAAUGCUAGAGCAGUCUAGAGUUACAACUCAAGCCGCAUCUAAAGCAGCUCGAACAAAAGCUGCAAUUGCACAACACUCAGAAAGAGUGACACCUCUGCCUCUACCAUCUCCUCCUGAGAAUUUUGAGGAGCCUAGACUCAGGGAAACUCAUGCAACUUCAAAUCUUGAACCCAAAAUUAGUGAUUCGAAUAGUAGCUUCUUGCAAGUGGAGCUGGAAGGUCCCACUGAAUUAGCCUCUCCUCUAAAAACUCAUGGGAAAAAGCAUUCUUCUGAAAGCUCUAAGAAAUCAACCAAACAAGUGCAUUCAAUGGAUAAACAUUUAUUUGCAGACACGAUCAACAAGAACCGAUGUAAAGUUGGGAAGAAAACGAAGCAUCCUUGUGGUUUCCGCUUGUCGUGCAGCAAAGAAGAGGCCAUUCUGCAUACUUUAUGUUCUAUUGGAAGCAGUGUUGAAGAAUUAAAAUUCUUGGUGAAACGAGUUAAGCAAAAGGAUGGAAGCUACAUCACCAAAGAAGUAGAGCCGCUUGAAGAGGUUUAUCUUCCCGCAGAUAUUGAGCAGUUGUUGCCUUUCAAAGACAAUGUAGCCCUAAAGAACUUUGAAGAGAAAUUGAUGAAAGAAAACGAAAUUUUGAAGACUACUGUGAAUGCUUUCGCUUGGAAACAUCGCAAUGAUUCCAACAUUACCAAUACAACGAGAGGUCUUGCAAGAGAAAUAUUGUGUGAAAGUGUGCUCGCCCUCUACUCUCUGAAAGGGGGUCAUCAGAAAAAAGCCUAUGAAAAAAAGAAGCUUCCUUUUAACGAAUCAAUUAUUUACACACUAAUCGUUGAUGUUGUUGGACGCAUAUGGAAAAAGUCUGUGGACAGUUACAAAUGUGAAGUCGACAAAACCCUGGGUCCCUUUUUUACUCAGUUGAACAAGCCUGCAACUGAGGUGGGAAAACAAAGCUUUGUAAAGAAAAUGAAGCAACUUUAGAAGAUACUGUGUGCAAGUGUACGCUGUUCGGAAGCCGCAUUUUUCUGUUAGUGACAUUGGAGCAGUUUUAUCUCUCACUAAGAAUUACUGUUUUCCACUUUAAAAUUCUUGAAGCUCUGAGCUUGACUGUCUUGUAGCCUCUUCUAAAAUAUCUGAAUUCUUAAGCUCUCUUAGAAUAAACUUAAAGUUUGAUUCUCUUUCAUUUAAAAAAUGGUGUACUUUGAAGUGCUGCAAUUUCUUUCUUUAUUUUUACUUGUAUUAUUAUUAUUAUUAUUAUCAUCAUCAUUAGAUUAGAAGAGUAUUUUCAUUCAGAAGGAGCACCGAUGUAUAUUGAAUUGGAUAUUGAAUUGUUGACUCUCUGAAACAUGGAUCUCUUCCAUACUUUUUUAUGGAUUAUUAUCAUUAUUUUUUUGUUUUUUUUUGUGACUUUAAAUGGUUCUCAACGCAAAGGUGGCUGUUUUUGUUUUAUCUAGAGUGAUACUAGUCCUCAAUUCGCUUGGUUCAUGAACUCAUUCCUCUGGUGUGAUCUUAAUCUAAGGUUUUAAUUCUUGAAGCUCUGAGCUAGACUCUCUUGUAGCCUCUUUUAAAAUAUUUGAAUUCACAAGCUCUCUGAGGACGAACUUUAAGUAUCAUUUAAAAUUUCCUUCAUUAUUAUUGUUUUAUUAGAAGAUUAUUAUUAUUUAGAAAAAGCACCAAUAUAUGCCGAAUUGUUGACCCUCUGAAACAUGAUCUCUUCCAUCCUUUUUUAUGGAUUAUUAUUAUUAUCAUAAUUAUUUUUUAUUUUUUUUCUUUGCCUUUAAAUUGUUUCCAACGCAAAAGUGGCUGUUUUUGUUUUCUAAUCAAGACUGAUACUAGUGCUAAAAUAGCUUGGUUUAUGAACUCAUUCCUCUGGUGUGAUCUUAAUUUAAGGUUUUGUAAACAUUUAUAGCCCUGAAUAUUUUCAGAGUAUGCGAUUUCUGAAACUUUGGAUAUCUUUUCUUUCUCGAUAUUCUUUUUGCCUUCAUAAUUUAGUUACAAUACUUUUGUAGUACUUAAGUGAUACUUUCCCCUAUAAUGGGACUCAUGUUUGUUCCUUCUCACUUCUCUCUUAAUGCCAAUUUCUUUUUUGAUAUUAUUUUUGCCGUACUUGCCUUACAAUACUUUUGUAAAUACUAUUUGUAACUUACUUCAAUAGCAAAUUCAAAGUUUACCCACCCAAUUCAUAUAACUGCUGCACCCCAAAAAUCCAGACAUGCAGAGAUAAAUUGCGGGUCUUACGGGUCUGUUAAAAAAGCAAUUUUAUCAAUAUUAAGCUAGCUGUAUCGUAACAAAGUUUGUUACCAUUGUACUGUAGUAUUUUAGUCUUUCUUCAUGUUCUGCAAAGAGCAAAGUCAUUCAUUUGUUACCGUAAUUGUUUCCAGAGUGCAAAUUAAAGUAUCAGACCAGUAAGAAAAUGGUUCAAAUAUUGUGCAUUUUCCUUAAAAUGUCGAGAUUCUUUUAUUUUUUGACAGGUGGUUAAACUUAUAAGUAAAUGUGCUGCUGUUUCAUUAUAAUUUGUGUACUUUUGUAUUCCUUUAAACAAUUUUGGUGCAGCAAUCUCUUUACCUCAAGUGACUGUAACAGUAGAGACAAGUUGUAUGCCAUCUUUCCUAAAAACAAAAACAUUUUGUUGGUCAUUUUGUAUCAAUCUUGCCUUGAGGGAGACCCCUCACGGCAAUUUGAAUAAUUUCAUUAGAGCAACAUCAUAGUAAAGACAGCAACAUUUUCCUCGCAAACUAAACAAAUGUUGAUAAAAGAAGAAGGACUUUCAGGUAUUUAACCAUAGUCUAAAUUUAAAAAAAGAAUUUUACAAUUUAUCAGAAAUUCUCGAAAAUGUGAUGGUUUAUAGAAUACGGCUCGAAUAUUUCUUGAAUUUUUUACAAAAUUUAAGCUGUUUUAUGAAUAUGUAGAAUUUUUGGGAAUUCUCACAGCCUUUGUAAAAUCCCAAGUUUUCGAAAAUUUCCACGUCCUUUCGAAGAUCCUAUAUUUUCGAGAAUUUGGUCAGUGUUGGUAAGAACAAUUGGUAUUAAAAACAUGAACUUUCUAGAUUUCUAUCUACGCUGGAAAAUCUCGAAAAACUUAGCACGCUGUUAAAAAUUCACGUGUUUUAGCAUAUUUUGGCAAAGUUGGUAAAAUCAAGAAUUCCCGCGAUUUGCGGCUUUGAUGUACAUAAUAAUCCAGACUUUUCGAAAUUUUGAUAACAUUGGUAAAAAUUCACAUUUUUCGUUGUUACUGGAAACAUAAUCGUAAAAUUUCAAAUUUUCGCGCUUGAUGGCGUUAAAAAAAUGCAUAAUUUCCGAGAAUGCUGAAAAUUUCGAGACGUUCCAUAUCCGGACUUUUCUAGAAUUUUGGCAACGUCCGUAUAAGUCGAAAUUUUCACGUCUUUGAAAAUCAAAGACUUUUCGAGAAUUCAGGAAAAGUUGCAUCAAAAUUCGGAAUUUCCGCGAAAUUUGACGACGUUCACGAAAUGUAGCAAUUCUACACAUUUUGGCAACGUCGAUAAGUUGCAAGAUUCAUGCAAUUUAAUUGCUACAAGUUGCGACUUUUCCUUCCGAUUGGAUCGCCGAAAAUCGGCACUUAUCGACCAUAUGUUGGCUGAAAGUUGCAACUAAGUUGCAACUUAGUUGCAACUUUUAACCAAUAUUGUUUCAACUUGUUGCAACUUUAACUUUGAAAAAUGCUACUUGGGCGGUAGGAUUAAUUCGUCGUUUCCCAAACGAAGGAAUGUAACUCAAUACCAAGGUUGCAAAAUUGACCCAAACAGCAACUCUUUGUUACAGGAAUGUACUAGUACAAUUAUUUACAAAAUUUGUAUGGUUUUUGCAUGAGAUCAGAAGAUAAAUCAGUGAAAUUUUCAGUGAUAAAUGCUGAAGAUGAUCUCAGUGAUAAUUCUAUUUGCAAGGGGAAGUUUGGCCACAUCGAGACGUAGUUACGUUCUUCCGUGGGAGGAAAACGACGAAUUUUGGCCAAUCGGUGGAUUUUUAAUGCGAAAAAAAACUAAAACAAAAAUCGAACUUCCUCACAUCGCGCGAGGUCUUCGCUUAGUAUUCCCUAAAAAGAGGAAUCCUCGGAUAGUCGUGGUUUUUUCUAAUUUUCCACUAGAUGUUGCUGCGAUUUUUCAACUGUCUCGUAAUUGCGAGUUUAUUUAUUGCUCUUCAUUGGUACUUAUACACCUAUAAAUUGAAACUCUCGUUCCAAAGUCAGGACCAAUUUUUAGCAAUUUUCAAAACAAAACAAACGUUACGAGCGAGACAACUUCUGAUAUGUGCUCUAAUCAUUUACAAGUGAUAGGUACGAAUUCAAGAUGUGCGGUACACGCUG